RNAcentral lists this long non-coding RNA (1495 nucleotides) under Sarcophilus harrisii (Tasmanian devil). Its description in RNAcentral is "lncRNA (ENSSHAG00000014534.2)". The record is from RNAcentral. Lineage: Eukaryota; Metazoa; Chordata; Mammalia; Dasyuromorphia; Dasyuridae.
UAGAAACCCCAAGGCAAAAAGUCACAUAGCUUUGGUGCCUUUUACGUUAUGAAGGGUUUUUGUUAAAUGGGUAGAGAUUUUAGUUCUCUGAUGAAGGGAUUAUCUCAAUAAAACUGAUUGAACCUAAGACUGAGGACUUUGGAAUACUGAAUCAUGACUUAUAUAAAUCUAUAUAAAUCAAUUUCUCUGCCAGAAAAUGAAUAACCAACUUCAUUCAAAUGCCAGUUCAACAAUUACAAAGUCUGCUAGCGGUUAAUUAAAAGCUACCAUCUCAUUAUAUUCAGAGCUUCUACAAGGCAGGUUUAUGAGGAUAAACUACAAGAAUUGAUAACACAACAUAAGGCUAAGAAGAAAAGCGAAGAACUAAAUCAGGAUCUGGAAUGUGAGGGAGAUAAAGAGGAUCUUGAUGAUCGCAUUUUGGAAAGAGCCAUCACAAGAUCAUCAAGAAGAAGUAAACAAUGCAAAAAAGAGAGUUGUGCACUUGAAAAACCUGCAAAACAAAAGAGUUUUAAAUUAGAACAGAGUGUCAGUCCUUUACUUCAAUGUGGCAGAAAGUUAUCUUCAGAUUAUUCCUCGAAUGGUGAUGUUGACAUCUUUUACGCUGAUCCCUCCUCUCACACAGGAAUAAGGAUUACAAUAAGAAGACCAUUAAAUUCCAAGACAGAGGAUCCAGAAAGACAGAAAAUGUUGGAAGAUAUGAAAACUGUAGAAAAGAAAGUAGGAGUGAUUUCAAUCGCCUUUAUAAUUACUGUGUUGCUCAUUUUUGCCUUUAUAAUUUUUGUCUACUUAACCAUGGAAAAGAAGGUCGCAGGCUAGUUACAUACAGUAAGACUAGCAUGAAGACAACAAGCAAUGGGCUCCUGACUGAGUAAUGUACCACUCUCUCUUCCCUCAGUAAAAGAACUCAGAACAACUUUGGAAUUAGUAUGCUCAAGUAAAAAGCCAAAUGCAGUGACUAUGUGGUCUUCCUUUGAAAGAUUACUGCUUUAAAAAAAAAGAAAAGAAAAAAAAACACAUUAGUAGGUAAUUUAUCCAUAUGCCUAUCUCAGAAUACAAGAAAGCAAAUGGCACAGAGUAACCUUUUCAAGAUGGAGAAUAUAAUUAAGAAAUCUCUCUGUAUUCAUUAUUGUACCCACUUAAUAUGCUUCUGAAUUUUGGCAGACAUAAAAAGCAGAAUAUUGUUUUUAAAUAAGAGAAUAAGUUAUAGAUGAUAUUUCCUUUACUACUCAAAUGAUCUGAUGAAACAUACAUCUUUUAUUAAGAGCUAAUUGUGGAAUUCUUAGUCAUUUGAUCACUAAUAGUAAUAAACUUUGAUUUGCUUAAGGCAAUUUGAUCACAAAACAUCCUUAGAGAGACAUUACUAAUAUCUAUAGUUUUUGCUAAUUUCUUCUUACAAUUUAGAACUUUUAUGGCAUGAAGAGACAUUUGAAAUGAUAACAUUAAUACCCAGAAUAAAUUCCCCAAAUCAACAAUUGGGAUUCCCAAUGAAAUUUGU